GGUGCCGGUGCCGGUGCCGGUGUCGGUGUCAUUGUGGGUGUUGGUGCCGCCUCACUGCGCGUUCCGGCGCGCCCUGAUCCGGCGGGGCUCCCUCGCUGCGCCCUCGGACGCGCGGGGAGGGGAGCUGCCGCCGUGAGGGGACGGAGGCGCCUUCCCGCUCCUUUCCUUUCGGUGCCUCCGCCUGUGGUCUGGAGUGGCCGCGGGACCCGCAGCCACCACCUGCACAGUUUGAAUUCUCUCCCACCGCUUCCUCUGUGUCCCCUUUCCCAUCCGUGGAGUGUUCCAGCUGGCGCCUAAAUAAGGAACCAAGCCCUGGUUUUGGCCUAGGGUUGAUGCUAAGCAAACAGGAUGUUGCAUAUUUUUCGUGUUCUGGAAAACUUUUCCAGAUUAUUUGGAGUACUUGAUCGGAAAGCGACUACACAGACAUCACAUAUGACUGCUUGGGGCUGAACCAAGAUCUGCUACCUCAGCCCUGUAUCUGUAAACUGCAGCUGCCACCUUAGAAGUCAUGCAUUCUUGUAUUCCUCUUCUUAAGUAUUUUUCCUAUGGUUUGUAUAAUUUUCCAUUAAGGUAAAGUACAUGGGUUUUAACCAUAUUACUACUCUUCUCAUUAGUACUUUAUGAAUUAUGUAGUAGAUGCCUGACAAAAUGAUCAUAAAAGGCAAAGCAAGUAGAAAAUCACUUGUUAGUAAGAAAUUUAAAAAAGAAAAGAGAAAAACUAACAUCUGGUCAGCUAGGCAAGGAAAUAACUGGCCUUCUGUUAGAAGGUAAAUUGAACUUUCCCAGAGUGGUUACAAUACAAAGAACUGACAAUUUGGUUAAUAUUUAAUAACAGCUUGUCCUUAGGUAUAGUCUUAUUUUGUCCCAUCUGCUGCUUGUCAGCUAUAAUAAUAUCAAACAAGAAAUGUAACACAUCUCUCUGAUUUGCAGUUCUUAUGCUUUCCGUGUAGUAUAAGAAUACAAAUGCAUUCACUGAACUUACUUAUUCCUUGAUUCUUCCAGCUGGUAUAUUUAUAUAGUGCGGUGUGCCAGUUCUGCUCCUUGGUGAGUGAUGAAAACUUGUCAGGUGUUUUCUUCUGUCCACCACUCUGUUUAUUGACUAGAACACUGCUUCUUGUUCCUGUGAUCUCAUGUACUGAGAGGCUUUAGCUCGUGUGUUAAUAUGAGCUACACCAGCUCAGCAGUGAGUGCCAUAGCUGGCUAACAAUUAGCUUGCUCAAGAAGGACAGAUUGUCAGAAAGGCAGAGCAAUAAAUGUCCAGUGAAAUCAUCUCAGUCUUGUAUAUUGGGCAGACUUCCAGCUGCUUGAAAAAACGCAGUGUGUGUGUUAAUUCAGCUAUUAACUUAAACUGGAAUCAUUAGCUUCUAACACGAAAACUUGGCUGCCUUUUGUAUUAGUCAAGUAUAAAUUCAAUGGAGGAUUAAUAAUGAGUGAGAAUAUGAUCUCAUUACAUACAUGUGAAACAUUUACUUCACAGAUUUAAAAUUCUGAGUAUUUUCUUUAGUUUUUAUAAAACCCAUAUUAUUUUCAUGUAAAAAUCCCACAAAAUGAUAGACAGUCAUCUCACUGCAAGCUAUUUUCCAAAAGCAAAUACAGAUUUUGAUAAUGCUCCACUACUAAGUCAAUAUGAGAGAAAAAUAUCAAGUGCAUUAAACAAAAUCACAGCAGAUAUUAUGUAAGAUGGUUGUCAUGGACACACUUGACCCUCACCCAUGUGUUUGCUCAGGUUGACUAAGGAGCAACAGGCCUCUGUUGUGGUGUGUUUUGUUUUGUGGAGAGUUUAGGUUUGCCCCCUAUUCUUCUCCUUAAUCUUCUCCCCUCCCCAGCUGUCAAUCUUCCCAAGCUCUUCCCUAACCUCCUCCCCUCCAAGUUGUCAAUCCUCUCUUUCCCUGCCCCUUUCCCCAGAACAUUCCUUGUCACUCCUUCUAGUCCCCUCCCCUUCUUCCAGAGUGUUCCCUGUCCAUUUAGUUAUACUCAACACCCUAUUUGUUACUUUGUGUUAUUCCACUCCCUUAUUUCCCCUGAUAGGUUUGUGAUAUGUUAGUCCCACCUCAGACCCCUCCCCAGUUCUACCUUCAUUGGUUAUUGCUCCUACACCCCUCCUCCUGAGUUAUGUAUAAAAUCUUCUGUUUGCCCUCCCCAGCUGGUCUUGGUUCUCCAUUUUCUCCACCUAAUAAGCCCACUCUGGAACACCCCGAGCCCCAUGUCGUCGUUAUCCGUCCUCGUGCUGGACCAGCAGUUACUGGGAAUUGCAAAGCUCGCAGGGGGACGGUUGCAUCCCAGCCACAGCCGCCCAGCACGCCGUGCACGGUACACGCUGCAACAGGCUUCAUGCCCUGUGGUGAACUGUAUCUGUGCACUGUGGUCACGGGGAAGAUGUUCCCCAGUCCCUGAGGCUGGUGUGCAGUCACGGGAGUGAUCUUCACACUGAGUGACACACUGGAACUUCACUGAGUUCCCCCAGCUGGCGGUGUGUACAGGGGCUCGCAGGUCCCUGCAGCAGACAGCUGUGGCGUGGGCAACAGAGCAGGAGCACAGUACAAGAAACCAGGCAAAGGAAUAGAGAGGGGUCACUUGUUUUGAGUUCCAAGGAAGUUUUAUUCCAUAGAGGAUUCAGGGACAAAUGAUGAAAACUGGGGGCAAAAGGCUGCUUUUAAGGAGAGACAGGAAUAAGGGCAGGACACAGCCUUUCACCAACAGGAAAGCAUUAGGGGAGGAGUGCAAGGUAAGGGCUAUCCAAUAGAAGCCACCAAGGGGAAGGAGCAAGCCCUGCACCCCAAUCUUGUUUCGAGGAAGGGAUGAAGGACAGGGAACAUUCCAGGAGGGAACAAAGGCGCUACAAUAAGAUUUACAGGUGUGUGGUGGGAGAAUCUUGAGGUAAACAACUCAGGACUGAACAAUCAGGAAGCCAAAUGGAGUACAUGGAACGAACCAUUACAAACUUAUAACAAGGAAUAUUUAAAACUUACUA
This is a non-coding RNA of Taeniopygia guttata (zebra finch), 2971 nucleotides long. Lineage: Eukaryota; Metazoa; Chordata; Aves; Passeriformes; Estrildidae. The record is from RefSeq and is a predicted model, not a curated record.